GAUGAACGCUGGCGGCGUGCUUAACACAUGCAAGUCGAACGAAGCACCUUGAUUCGAUUCUUCGGAUGAAGAUCUUGGUGACUGAGUGGCGGACGGGUGAGUAACGCGUGGGUAACCUGCCUCAUACAGGGGGAUAACAGUUAGAAAUGACUGCUAAUACCGCAUAAGACCACAGCACCGCAUGGUGCAGGGGUAAAAACUCCGGUGGUAUGAGAUGGACCCGCGUCUGAUUAGGUAGUUGGGGGGGUAACGGCCUACCAAGCCGACGAUCAGUAGCCGACCUGAGAGGGUGACCGGCCACAUUGGGACUGAGACACGGCCCAGACUCCUACGGGAGGCAGCAGUGGGGAAUAUUGCACAAUGGGGGAAACCCUGAUGCAGCGACGCCGCGUGAGCGAUGAAGUAUUUCGGUAUGUAAAGCUCUAUCAGCAGGGAAGAAAAUGACGGUACCUGACUAAGAAGCACCGGCUAAAUACGUG
This 479-nucleotide ribosomal RNA is filed under the name uncultured bacterium. Its description in RNAcentral is "partial 16S ribosomal RNA". It matches the Rfam family "Bacterial small subunit ribosomal RNA", at positions 28 to 507 of the family's 1533-position model. The record is from RNAcentral.